Molecule: ribosomal RNA, 375 nt
Filed under: uncultured organism
Description: partial 16S ribosomal RNA
Rfam family: Bacterial small subunit ribosomal RNA
Source: RNAcentral
GUAGGUGGCAAGCGUUGUCCGGAAUUAUUGGGCGUAAAGCGCGCGCAGGUGGUUCCUUAAGUCUGAUGUGAAAGCCCCCCGGGCUCAACCGGGGAGGGUCAUUGGAAACUGGGGAACUUGAGUGCAGGAGAGGAAAGUGGAAUUCCACGUGUAGCGGUGAAAUGCGUAGAUAUGUGGAGGAACACCAGUGGCGAAGGCGACUUUCUGGCCUGUAACUGACACUGAGGCGCGAAAGCGUGGGGAGCAAACAGGAUUAGAUACCCUGGUAGUCCACGCCGUAAACGAUGAGUGCUAAGUGUUGGGGGGUUUCCGCCCCGUCAGUGCUGCAGCUAACGCAUUAAGCACUCCGCCUGGGGAGUACGGUCGCAAAGACUG